RNAcentral lists this ribosomal RNA (814 nucleotides) under Phaeobotryon rhois. RNAcentral's name for it is "partial large subunit ribosomal RNA". It matches the Rfam family "Eukaryotic large subunit ribosomal RNA", at positions 96 to 928 of the family's 3401-position model. Lineage: Eukaryota; Fungi; Ascomycota; Dothideomycetes; Botryosphaeriales; Botryosphaeriaceae. The record is from RNAcentral.
AAGCGGCAACAGCUCAAAUUUGAAAGCUGGCUCCUUCGGAGUCCGCAUUGUAAUUUGUAGAGGAUGAUUCGGCGAGGGCUCCCGCCUAAGUCCACUGGAACGUGGCGUCGUAGAGGGUGAGAAUCCCGUAUGCGGUGGGUUGCCUUAGCCAUGUGAAUCUCCUUCGACGAGUCGAGUUGUUUGGGAAUGCAGCUCUAAAUGGGAGGUAAAUUUCUUCUAAAGCUAAAUACCGGCCAGAGACCGAUAGCGCACAAGUAGAGUGAUCGAAAGAUGAAAAGCACUUUGGAAAGAGAGUUAAAAAGUACGUGAAAUUGUUGAAAGGGAAGGGCUUGCAACCAGACUUGUCCGCAGUUGCUCAGCCGGUCUCCUGACCGGCGUACUCUUCUGCGGCCAGGCCAGCAUCAGUUCGGGCGGUCGGAUAAAGACCUAGGGAAUGUAGCUCCUCUCGGGGAGUGUUAUAGCCCUGGGUGGAAUGCGGCCAGCCUGGACUGAGGAUCUCGCUUCGGCUAGGAUGCUGGCGUAAUGGUUGUAAGCCGCCCGUCUUGAAACACGGACCAAGGAGUCUAACAUCUAUGCGAGUGUUUGGGUGUCAAACCCAUACGCGUAAUGAAAGUGAACGGAGGUGGGAACCCGCAAGGGCGCACCAUCGGCCGAUCCUGAUGUCUUCGGAUGGAUUUGAGCAAGAGCAUAGCUGUUGGGACCCGAAAGAUGGUGAACUAUGCCUGAAUAGGGUGAAGCCAGAGGAAACUCUGGUGGAGGCUCGCAGCGGUUCUGACGUGCAAAUCGAUCGUCAAAUUUGGGUAUAGGGGCGAAA